Molecule: ribosomal RNA, 496 nt
Filed under: uncultured bacterium
Lineage: Bacteria
Description: partial 16S ribosomal RNA
Rfam family: Bacterial small subunit ribosomal RNA
Source: RNAcentral
AUGAACGCUGGCGGCGUGCCUAAUACAUGCAAGUCGAGCGAACAGACGAGGAGCUUGCUCCUCUAACGUUAGCGGCAGACGGGUGAGUAACACGUGGAUAACCUACCUAUAAGACUGGGAUAACUUCGGGAAACCGGAGCUAAUACCGGAUAAUAUAUUGAACCGCAUGGUUCAAUAGUGAAAGACGGUUUUGCUGUCACUUAUAGAUGGAUCCGCGCCGCAUUAGCUAGUUGGUAAGGUAACGGCUUACCAAGGCAACGAUGCGUAGCCGACCUGAGAGGGUGAUCGGCCACACUGGAACUGAGACACGGUCCAGACUCCUACGGGAGGCAGCAGUAGGGAAUCUUCCGCAAUGGGCGAAAGCUUGACGGAGCAACGCCGCGUGAGUGAUGAAGGUCUUCGGAUCGUAAAACUCUGUUAUUAGGGAAGAACAAAUGUGUAAGUAACUAUGCACGUCUUGACGGUACCUAAUCAGAAAGCCACGGCUAACUACGUG